GCACUCCGUCGAGCCCCCGCGCAGCCGUGCCGGAGCCGCAGGGCCUCCGUCCAGCCGCGCGGUCCGGGCAGCCCGCGCCCCCUGUUCUUCCGGUCCUCGGGCCCAGGUACCCCUCUGGACCUCCCCCGCCUGCAGCGCGGAGGCGGCUCCUCUUCAGGUGGCCGGGCCGGGGCCUUCCCCGGCAGACCUGUCACCCGACACCCAGGAAGCGCGCGGCCGGGUCCCGGCUCCCCUUUGUUCCCCCGCUGGGCUCGGCGCUCCGGCGCCGCCCCCUCUCGCGGGGCAGCGGAGGUUUGGGCCCGGGCCGGGCGCGCUUCAAGCUCCGUCCAUGCGGCUCUUUCCAAACCGGGGCCGUUUUUGCCUGGCUUCUCUGGUGUGGACUCCGCGCGGAGCUGAGAGGCGGCUGUGCGCCCAGCCUGGAGCCGGCGCAGUAAUUCCAACCUCUUAGCCAAGACCAGAGCUAAAAGGGCACCUUCAUCACACCGCCGACGUUGACCCCAGGCUGACAAAUGUGACCUGCUUCCGUUGGUCUUUGAAUCCUCAUUUCUAUUUGCUUUUCAACUUUAUUGUAUAUAUCUUUUAUGUAACUUACUUCAAGUUAUUUUGUAGGGAAAUGUGUAAAAAACCCCUGCUUUUUGGGAUCAUGAAAAUAUUUCAAAGUUAGAUUAUGGUGAUGGUUGCCCAACUUUGUAAAUAUACUAAAGAUCGUUCAAUGGUACGCUUUAAACGGAUGAACUUAAUGGUAUAUAAAUUAUCUCAAUAAAACGAUUUGAAAAAA
Molecule: long non-coding RNA, 778 nt
Filed under: Homo sapiens (human)
Lineage: Eukaryota; Metazoa; Chordata; Mammalia; Primates; Hominidae
Description: novel transcript
Source: RNAcentral